CGGUGGGUUCCCGCGGCCAAGGGAGCAGACUGUAAAUCACCGUCGUCGAAGGUUCGAAUCCUUCCCCACCACCACCA
RNAcentral lists this transfer RNA (77 nucleotides) under Salmonella enterica subsp. enterica. Its description in RNAcentral is "tRNA-Tyr". The record is from RNAcentral. Lineage: Bacteria; Pseudomonadati; Pseudomonadota; Gammaproteobacteria; Enterobacterales; Enterobacteriaceae.